CACGUGGUGUCACCCAGCGCGCGCGGUCUCGCGCCGCCAUCACUGCUCACGGAGUCGCUGCCGCAGUCUGGUCCUGGUGCAAGAAACGCAAGAAUGAAGCCUGCCAAUGCCCGCCCCCUCUGCUCCACGUGGCAUGGCACUGCAGCAACUCCCCGCCCGUGUGGGCCCGUGCAGUUGCACCGCCUGCACACGCGGCAGGAGACGUGGCCACUGGUGGUGUGCCGCGUGCUCGUAGUUUUAGUGGACUGUAUCGUCCUUGCCCGCACAGGAAAUCAAAGUGGAGCCUGGGACGCGUCACGCAGCCGCCCCUACCUGCUGCCGGUGUGCGGACACGCGUCUCGUGUGGAGCAUGCCUGCAGGACAAAGGCACGCGCACGCGCGGGCUGCGAGUUUGUGUGCCCGACCUGCAAGGUCCCCGGCCUCCUACCUGCAGCCCGACGAAGCGCUUGGAAAUUUCCUACUCACGCUGAAGGAAAUGCUGGAGGAGCGAUUUGGUGGGAAGCCUCGGCCGCUCUACCCUGAGCGGCCGCUCGCGCAGGGCAGCCGCGGCGCUGGUGUCUGGCACCUAUCUUGUCGAGGGCUCUGUACAGCACAAACCACUGCACCUGGGCCACGGCCCGAAUCCAAAGCCUCCGUUCUGACGGUCAGAUUCAGGUCUGUUCCCGUAGUCGAGUUCACGUUAAAAUUUAUGCUGGGCAAUGAGUUGAUUGAAACCUAGAGAUGUAAAAUAGCAGACAGGUCACUUCUGUCACCAGGCCUUUUAGCUGCGUUCCAACCAAGGCUUUUUCUAUUUCCACACCUCCGAUUAGCACAGUUGGCUAUGUACGGUGCGAAAGAAGUUCAACAUACAUAUUAAUAAGUUUGUUUAUCCCAGGAAGGCCUCAGGCUUUCACAACCAUUAUCCAUAAUCGAGGUUUUUGGGUUAGACGACGUAAAUAUGAAUGUGUCGUUAAACCCGCCACCGCCAACACAGCCAAUUACUGUAGUAAGGUUUGUCACGUAAUCAAAACGUGCUAAUUCGUUACUAGUUCAGCACACUGGUGUGUUCGACAGUAAACCCCCAACAUUUACAAUUCAAUACUCUUUGGUUCUUUUGGUAAAGUCACGUAGGUAUAACAUAAAAUUUACAAUUCGAGUACGACGUUUUGUCAGUAAUUCCAACUCACAUCAACAGGCGAUAGCCAGGGUUGUUAAGAGCGAAGCAGGAGGAUUUCUCAAGAGAUAAACGUGAUGUCUCACUUGUGGGGCAAUUAGGCAGAAGGCCGGGGAGGGGGGGAGGUUAUAAAUGCAUAUAAAUUACAAUGGAUAUCCAAUAUCAGUUGGGUUAUUCAUAGGAUAAUCAACAGACAUACAUUCACAUUAUGCAUGCACACCAUGCAUAUCCAUCCUGCCGUUUUUGGUUGCAAGAAAGACGGGUUUUUUUUAUUCCAGCGUUCAGAUAGUUGCCCAGUACCAGUUACGUUGCCAUGGCGUGUUGUAGGCUGAAGCAUUGACGCUAGAGGAUGACCGAAACUGAAUUUCGGGUUUCGGCCGAAACCGAAACCAGACCGAAAGUUAAAUAUUGGCUUUUGGCCGAAACCGAAGCCGAAACCGAAAGUUGAACUUCACUUUCGGCCAAAACCGAAAGUUUAACUACACUUUCGACCGAGACCAAAACAGAAAGGUUUAUAACCAAAGUUACCGAACACAAGAUUUAUGAAAUACUAGCUUUACUACCCGGCUUCGCCCGGGACUUGGAUUCACCACGGCCGGCUGCCUUUGUCUCCCCAGUGGCGAUGUUGACACACCACUUACUCGUUUGAGGCUGAGUCGACCUAGGGGAGGCCCAGGACCAGUUCAAAUAAUCGUCACCGGCAGUGGCCAUGAGUGGAAAUUGAACUUGGGUCGUCGGGUUCGUAGCGCAGCGCGCGAAUCGCUACGCAGUCGCUGCCCCCCCCUACAUACACACAGGAUAAGGACAAAAAUCCACCAUGUAGCCUGUGAGACUGUAGGGAGCAAGUGCUGUUAGCGAGUACCUAUGAAGGCCGGCAUGGCACACGAGGGGGUGGGUGGCCAGCACCACGCCAUGUUCGUAGCGCUAAGCGCUACACAUGCGCGGGUGACAUGACAGAUGUGACAUCACAGCUCGCUUGCCGUGCAAAAUAUAUGCAUUAAUGCACCCCCCCCCCCCCAAAAAAAAAUAAUACCGAAGUGUAUGCAUGGUGUACAGUAUGGAAAGUACCCACAUGGCAAAUUUAAAGUUUGUUGCAUGUCGGGAAGUACGCUAAACAUUUUGAACAGACACAUUCACAAAUUUUCAUUUUUUAUAUAUAGGUCAUGAUGCAAUGCUACUUUAAUAAAAAAUCUAUCUAGAACUAAUCAUUCAGAGCCUGCAGUAAGAGUCGUUAAAUAUCAAAUCUUUAGGUGUUACUUAGUAAUUAUAUCUAAACAAACGAAUGUUGUAGUUAAGAAAUACCAGUUUUUCCGCAUUCUCGCCCAGCAGGUUGCUGUUUCUUGCAUCAGAAUCGACUUUAGUGAUUAACUGCUCCGUUUAUUAAGUUUAAUUUUCUACUUCACUCAGAUUCGUAAUUUUGUUAUCACUAAUUCGCUACGUAACUAUUAACUAACUGAAUAACAAUAUUGUCAGAUUUCGAUUUAAAGCUUUCGUGACUGCAGGGAUUCAUCUUCUUGGUUCUUUCGGUAAAGUCACAUAGAAGGGAAAUAAUAAAAUAAUAAAAAUAAAACAUAAAAUAAUUCUCACGACGU
Lethenteron reissneri (Far Eastern brook lamprey) is the source of this 2745-nucleotide long non-coding RNA. RefSeq lists it as uncharacterized. Lineage: Eukaryota; Metazoa; Chordata; Hyperoartia; Petromyzontiformes; Petromyzontidae. The record is from RefSeq and is a predicted model, not a curated record.